RNAcentral lists this ribosomal RNA (449 nucleotides) under uncultured bacterium. RNAcentral describes it as "partial 16S ribosomal RNA". It matches the Rfam family "Bacterial small subunit ribosomal RNA", at positions 29 to 523 of the family's 1533-position model. The record is from RNAcentral.
AAUGAACGCUGGCGGCAGGCCUAACACAUGCAAGUCGAACGGAUCCUUCGGGAUUAGUGGCGGACGGGUGAGUAACGCGUGGGAACAUACCCAAAGGUACGGAAUAGCCUCGGGAAACUGGGAGUAAUACCGUAUGUGCUCGAAAGAGGAAAGAUUUAUCGCCUUUGGAUUGGCCCGCGUUGGAUUAGGUAGUUGGUGGGGUAAUGGCCUACCAAGCCGACGAUCCAUAGCCGGUUUGAGAGGAUGAACAGCCACACUGGGACUGGGACACGGCCUAGACUCCUGCGGGAGGCAGCAGUGGGUAAUCUUAGACAAUGGGGGAAACCCUGAUCUAGCCAUGCCGCGUGAUCGAUGAAGGCCUUAGGGUUGUAAAGAUCUUUCAGGUGGGAAGAUAAUGACUGUACCACCAGAAGAAGCCCCGGCUAACUCCGUGCCAGCCGCCGCCGUAA